AUUGAACGCUGGCGGCAGGCCUAACACAUGCAAGUCGAACGAGUGGCGGACGGGUGAGUAAUGUCUGGGAAACUGCCUGAUUGAGGGGGAUAACUCCUUGAAACGGUAGCUAAUACCGCAUACCCUCGGAUGUGCCCAGAUGGGAGUAGCUAGGAGGUGGGGUAAAGGCUCACCUAGGCGACGAUCCCUAGCUGGUCUGAGAGGAUGACCAGCAAAACUGGAACGGAGACACGGUCCAGACUCCUACGGGAGGCAGAAGUGGGGAAUAUUGCACAAGGGGCGCAAGCCUGAGGUAGCCAUGCCGCGUGUAGGAAGAAGGCCUUCGGGUUGUAAAGUACUUGCAGCGGGGAGGCGUGACCCGCAGAAGAAGCACCGGCUAACUCCGUGCCAGCAGCCGCGGUAAUUC
RNAcentral lists this ribosomal RNA (406 nucleotides) under uncultured bacterium. Its description in RNAcentral is "partial 16S ribosomal RNA". It matches the Rfam family "Bacterial small subunit ribosomal RNA", at positions 29 to 526 of the family's 1533-position model. The record is from RNAcentral.